Molecule: ribosomal RNA, 329 nt
Filed under: uncultured eukaryote
Lineage: Eukaryota
Description: partial 18S ribosomal RNA
Rfam family: Eukaryotic small subunit ribosomal RNA
Source: RNAcentral
CCCUUAGAUGUUCUGGGCCGCACGCGCGCUACAAUGAUGAAUUCAACGAGUUUAUAACCUUGGUUGAAAAGCCUGGGUAAUCUUUUGAACUUUCGUCGUGAUGGGGCUAGACCCUUGCAAUUAUUGGUCUCCAACGAGGAAUUCCUAGUAAACGCAAGUCAUCAGCUUGCAUUGAUUACGUCCCUGCCCUUUGUACACACCGCCCGUCGCACCUACCGAUUGAAUGGUCCGGUGAAAUCUUCGGACCGUGACCUUGAUUUGUUUACUCAAAACGCUGUUACGGGAAGUUGAUUAAACCUUACCAUUUAGAGGAAGGUGAAGUCGUAACA